RNAcentral lists this ribosomal RNA (518 nucleotides) under uncultured bacterium. RNAcentral's name for it is "bacterial SSU rRNA". It matches the Rfam family "Bacterial small subunit ribosomal RNA", at positions 1000 to 1515 of the family's 1533-position model. The record is from RNAcentral.
CUAGAGAUAGAGUCUUCCCCUUCGGGGGACAAAGUGACAGGUGGUGCAUGGUUGUCGUCAGCUCGUGUCGUGAGAUGUUGGGUUAAGUCCCGCAACGAGCGCAACCCUUAAGCUUAGUUGCCAGCAUUAAGUUGGGCACUCUAAGUUGACUGCCGGUGACAAACCGGAGGAAGGUGGGGAUGACGUCAAAUCAUCAUGCCCCUUAUGAUUUGGGCUACACACGUGCUACAAUGGACAAUACAAAGGGCAGCUAAACCGCGAGGUCAUGCAAAUCCCAUAAAGUUGUUCUCAGUUCGGAUUGUAGUCUGCAACUCGACUACAUGAAGCUGGAAUCGCUAGUAAUCGUAGAUCAGCAUGCUACGGUGAAUACGUUCCCGGGUCUUGUACACACCGCCCGUCACACCACGAGAGUCUGUAACACCCGAAGCCGGUGGAGUAACCAUUUAUGGAGCUAGCCGUCGAAGGUGGGACAAAUGAUUGGGGUGAAGUCGUAACAAGGUAGCCGUAUCGGAAGGUGC